AGGAAUAUUGGGCAAUGCCCGCAAGGGUGACCCAGCAACGCCGCGUGGAGGAUGAAUGUCGUAAGAUUGUAAACUCCUGUUAGAGGGGAAGAAUAGUACCGGUUGGACCGGUAUAUGACUGUACCCUCAGAGAAAGCCCCGGCUAACUACGUGCCAGCAGCCGCGGUAAUACGUAGGGGGCAAGCGUUGUCCGGAUUUACUGGGUGUAAAGGGCGCGCAGGCGGGAUAAAAAGUCAGUGGUGAAAUCCUACAGCUUAACUGUAGAACUGCCUUUGAUACUUUUAUUCUUGAGUUCGGGAGAGAGAGACGGAAUUCCAGGUGUAGUGAUGAAAUACGUAGAUAUCUGGAAGAACACCAGUUGCGAAGGCGGUCUCUUGGUCCGACACUGACGCUGAGGCGCGAAAGCGUGGGGAGCAAACA
This 420-nucleotide ribosomal RNA is filed under the name uncultured bacterium. RNAcentral's name for it is "bacterial SSU rRNA". It matches the Rfam family "Bacterial small subunit ribosomal RNA", at positions 357 to 774 of the family's 1533-position model. The record is from RNAcentral.